This 860-nucleotide long non-coding RNA is filed under the name Marmota monax (woodchuck). The record is from RNAcentral. Lineage: Eukaryota; Metazoa; Chordata; Mammalia; Rodentia; Sciuridae.
GGGCACUCUGGGUGAGAAUGCCUCUCAGGGAGUCGGUGAUGGUGCUCUGUCUGCAUAGAUUCAUCGGUGAUCAGAACCUUUUGUUAUAGCCUGUGAUUCUUCCUUUCAGACAUUUGCUGCUGCUGUGUGUUAUGUACAUUGGCAUCAGUUAUUUGUUACAGCAAUAUUUAGGGAUAUUGAUGUAAUGAAAUGUAGACAUCAAAGUGAUGACUUUGAUACCUAGAAGCAAGCCGGAAGAAAGCCACAUUUCUUUGAUUUCUUCAGGUUUUCAAGAAUGGGAACUUUCUACUUACUAAUUAAUUCAGUGUGGUGGGUGUGUGUAUCUGAGCUCCAGACGAAACCCAAGCAGUUUUGGGUAGUCAGAGCUAAAAUGUGAGUCAAGGAGGAACAGCUGUUUGACUGGAGGGGAAGAUUGUAUAUAGAGAUUUGGGCAAGUCCUGUUACGGAAUUUAGAUCUUUCUUUAAUAAUGGAGAGCUAUUGAUGAGUUUGGGUGUGUGUGGGGAACGUGGUCCCUCCUAUUAUCUGUACCACAGAAGCUGUUUGUGUGGACUAGAGACAGGAGACUUGUGGGGCUGUGGGACUAGUCCAGAUGAGAACCAAUGAGGACCUGAGCUAGGACACUGCUGAUAGAGGUGGACUCACAGACUGGAAAUGUUUAGAAGGUGCAAGUCCGGAUGCUUGGCUGCAAUCAACCAUAAUAAGUUAAAAGGAGGAUUACUGAAGAAAGAAGAUUUCUGAAGAAAGUUUCAAAGGAAUGAAAUGCCACUGAAGCCAGCAUGAUUAUAGGCCCUUGAGGGCUAAGCGACAGAGCAGGGGCCAUACUCAGGCUCUCCCACAAGAGGGAGGAAAGAGGGUCUCC